UUAGCUCAUAUUUGUAUGAAAUGGGAUCGUUUGCGUACGUUUGCCGCUAGGGGCGCUGUUCCAACUGCAUACAAAAUUGAGUUA
RNAcentral lists this microRNA precursor (84 nucleotides) under Bombyx mori (domestic silkworm). RNAcentral describes it as "mir-2807 microRNA precursor family". It matches the Rfam family "mir-2807 microRNA precursor family". The record is from Rfam by way of RNAcentral. Lineage: Eukaryota; Metazoa; Arthropoda; Insecta; Lepidoptera; Bombycidae.